AAUCAACGCUGGCGGCGUGCCUAACACAUGCAAGUCGAACGCGAAAGUCCCGCAAGGGAUGAGUAGAGUGGCAAACGGGUGAGUAACACGUGGGUGACCUACCUUCGAGUGGGGGAUAACGUCCCGAAAGGGACGCUAAUACCGCAUCACAUCCUGCCUUUGAACAGGUGAGAUCAAAGCUGGGGAUCGCAAGACCUAGCGCUGGAAGAGGGGCCCNCGCCUGAUUAGCUAGUUGGUGAGGUAACGGCUCACCAAGGCAACGAUCAGUAUCCGGCCUGAGAGGGCGGACGGACACACUGGGACUGAGACACGGCCCAGACUCCUACGGGAGGCAGCAGUGGGGAAUUGUUCGCAAUGGGCGCAAGCCUGACGACGCAACGCCGCGUGGAGGAU
This 393-nucleotide ribosomal RNA is filed under the name uncultured bacterium. Its description in RNAcentral is "bacterial SSU rRNA". It matches the Rfam family "Bacterial small subunit ribosomal RNA", at positions 32 to 409 of the family's 1533-position model. The record is from RNAcentral.